UACGUAGGGUGCAGGCGUUAAUCGGAAUUACUGGGCGUAAAGGGCGCGUAGGCGGGAUGGCAAGUCGGUCGUGAAAUCCCUCGGCUCAACCGAGGAACGUCGAUCGAUACUGCUGUUCUUGAGGAUUGCAGAGGAGACUGGAAUUCCCGGUGUAGCGGUGAAAUGUGUAGAGAUCGGGAGGAACACCGGUGGCGAAGGCGGGUCUCUGGGCAAUUCCUGACGCUGAGGCGCGAAAGCGUGGGGAGCAAACGGG
This 253-nucleotide ribosomal RNA is filed under the name uncultured bacterium. Its description in RNAcentral is "partial 16S ribosomal RNA". It matches the Rfam family "Bacterial small subunit ribosomal RNA", at positions 524 to 776 of the family's 1533-position model. The record is from RNAcentral.